RNAcentral lists this ribosomal RNA (253 nucleotides) under uncultured bacterium. RNAcentral describes it as "partial 16S ribosomal RNA". It matches the Rfam family "Bacterial small subunit ribosomal RNA", at positions 524 to 776 of the family's 1533-position model. The record is from RNAcentral.
UACGUAGGGUGCGAGCGUUAAUCGGAAUUACUGGGCGUAAAGCGUGCGCAGGCGGUUCGUUAAGUUCGAUGUGAAAGCCCCGGGCUUAACCUGGGAAUGGCAUUUGGGACUGCAAGGCUGGAGUACGGCAGAGGGAGGUGGAAUUCCAGGUGUAGCAGUGAAAUGCGCAGAUAUCAGGAGGAACACCGGUGGCGAAGGCGGGUCUCUGGGCCGAUACUGACGCUGAGGAGCGAAAGCGUGGGGAGCGAACAGG